UUUGCAUUCUCUGCUAACUGCUACUAACUAGUUAUGGCUGUUAUUUCUUGCUUUUAUGAUCCAACUACUCUAGUUAUUACUCGGUUUAUUGGGUCAAUAAUGUUUAGUAGAUAGCGUGAGAAAUUGAAAAUUAAAUUUCUAUAAUUCUUGAUAGCUAACAUUCCAUUAACAUGGUUGAAGAAGAGGUACUGAUCCCUAGACAAGCAAAAGAAUAGAAUAGUUGAGAGAGAGUAGUGGUGGGAAGAAAUGGUGAAGCCACAGGAGCUCCCAGACAUGAAGGAUGAAUUCCAGAAGAUCUUGGACGCCAAAAUGGACAAUGCACAAGAGAGACGCCGUGCCCGGGAAGCCUUCAAGCAGAUUCAGCUUGGAAUUGAUCAUUGCUUAAUGAAGAUGCCAUGUGAAGGACUGAAGAUAGAAGAGUCAUAUGGAGUGAAUUCCAGAGGAUUAGAAAUAUUUUCGAAAAGCUGGCUGCCGGAGAAUUCUAGCCCCAAAGCAUUGGUUUGCUACUGUCAUGGUUACGGUGAAACGUGCACUUUUGUGUUUGAAGGAGUUGCAAGAAAGUUGGCAUCAUCAGGCUAUGGAGUCUUUGCAAUGGAUUAUCCAGGCUUUGGCCUUUCAGAAGGUCUUCAUGGGUAUAUUCCAAGCCUUGAUAAGCUUGUCAAUGAUGUGGCCGAGCAUUACUCCAAAAUCAAAGAGAACCCCAAGUUCCAGUGUCUCCCAAGCUACCUAUUUGGACAAUCUUUGGGUGGAGCAAUAGCCAUGAAGGUGCACUUGAAACAACCAGAUGCCUGGAAUGGUGCCAUUCUUGUAGCACCCAUGUGCAAAUUUGCAGAUAAUAUGAUCCCACCAUGGAUAGUGGUGCAGAUUCUAAUUGGAAUAGCUUAUCUUUUUCCGAAGCUGAAAAUAGUUCCACAUAAGAAUUUCGUCAAGAUGGCAUUCAGAGACUUGAAAAAGCAAGAGCUGGCAGCAUAUAAUGUUAUUGCUUACAAGGAUACAGCCCGCCUGUGGACUGCUUUAGAAUGUCUAAGAACCACCCAAGAACUAGAACAACGCUUACAAGAGGCAUGUUGCUUCCCUCAUCUCUCUUUUAUUCUCCGGUUGAUGUGCAAAAAUCAACCUCCCCCUUACGUUUUCACCAGUUAGACUUGUUUGGUGUAGCAUCCAUUGGAUAGAGAGGGUGACAUGCAUUCACAAGCUUACUAUAGUAGUAGAUGCAUUAUAUAAUCAUAUUUUUGCCCUAAUGAAUGUCAAACCAGAAACAUUCAAACAAUUACUGUUGAUCAUCAAAACUUGAUGCAAUACUGAGUAUGAUUUGCAGGUUUCUGUGCCAUUACUAAUCUUGCAUGGAGAAGCAGAUGUUGUAACAGAUCCAUCAGUAAGCAAGGCAUUGUAUGAGAAGGCAAGUAGUUCAGACAAGAAACUUAAGCUUUAUAAGAAUGCUUUUCACUCUCUCCUUGAAGGUGAGCCAGAUGACACGAUUUUUCAAGUUCUUGAUGAUAUUAUCUGCUGGCUUGAAGAUCACAGCGUUAAAAAAAUUAAAUAAAUUUUUUAUUUACUGCUUUAUUUAUUUCUCAAUAGAAAGGGCAGAAAUGUUCCUAG
Molecule: unclassified non-coding RNA, 1599 nt
Filed under: Hevea brasiliensis (rubber tree)
Lineage: Eukaryota; Viridiplantae; Streptophyta; Magnoliopsida; Malpighiales; Euphorbiaceae
Source: RNAcentral